This is a long non-coding RNA of Sapajus apella (tufted capuchin), 144 nucleotides long. RefSeq lists it as uncharacterized. The record is from RefSeq and is a predicted model, not a curated record. The transcript is spliced from 3 exons. NCBI's taxonomy places the organism in Eukaryota, Metazoa, Chordata, Mammalia, Primates, Cebidae.
UUAUGGUUUUAGGUCUUAUGUUUAAGUCUUUAAUCCAUCUUGAGUUAAUAUUUUUCAUAUGGUGUAAGAAAGAAGACCAAUUUCAAUCUUUUGCAUAUGGCUACCCAGUAAUCCCAACACCAUUUAUUGAACAGAAGAUCCUUU